GCCCCCAUAGUAUAAUGAAUAGUACGCAGCCCUGCGGAGGCUGAGACCGGGGUUUAAUUCCCCGUGGGGGCA
Molecule: transfer RNA, 72 nt
Filed under: Euryarchaeota archaeon SM23-78
Lineage: Archaea; Methanobacteriati; Methanobacteriota
Also listed under: 1 other name
Description: tRNA-Arg
Rfam family: tRNA
About the family: Transfer RNA (tRNA) molecules are approximately 80 nucleotides in length. Their secondary structure includes four short double-helical elements and three loops (D, anti-codon, and T loops). Further hydrogen bonds mediate the characteristic L-shaped molecular structure. tRNAs have two regions of fundamental functional importance: the anti-codon, which is responsible for specific mRNA codon recognition, and the 3' end, to which the tRNAs corresponding amino acid is attached (by aminoacyl-tRNA synthetases). tRNAs cope with the degeneracy of the genetic code in two manners: having more than one tRNA (with a specific anti-codon) for a particular amino acid; and 'wobble' base-pairing, i.e. permitting non-standard base-pairing at the 3rd anti-codon position.
Source: RNAcentral